UACGAAGGGUGCUAGCGUUGUUCGGAAUCACUGGGCGUAAAGCGCGCGUAGGCGGCGCAUUAAGUCAGAGGUGAAAGCCUGGAGCUCAACUCCAGAACUGCCUUUGAAACUGAUGCGCUGGAGUGUAUGAGGGGAUAGCGGAAUUCCGAAUGUAGAGGUGAAAUUCGUAGAUAUUCGGAGGAACACCGGUGGCGAAGGCGGCUAUCUGGCAUACAACUGACGCUCUGGCGCGAAAGCGUGGGGAUCAAACAGG
RNAcentral lists this ribosomal RNA (253 nucleotides) under uncultured bacterium. Its description in RNAcentral is "partial 16S ribosomal RNA". It matches the Rfam family "Bacterial small subunit ribosomal RNA", at positions 524 to 776 of the family's 1533-position model. The record is from RNAcentral.